This 361-nucleotide ribosomal RNA is filed under the name uncultured bacterium. RNAcentral's name for it is "bacterial SSU rRNA". It matches the Rfam family "Bacterial small subunit ribosomal RNA", at positions 9 to 355 of the family's 1533-position model. The record is from RNAcentral.
GAGUUUGAUCCUGGCUCAGGACGAACGCUGGCGGCGUGCCUAACACAUGCAAGUCGAACGAAGCGAUUUAACGGAAGUUUUCGGAUGGAAGUUGAAUUGACUGAGUGGCGGACGGGUGAGUAACGCGUGGGUAACCUGCCUCAUACAGGGGGAUAACAGUUAGAAAUGGCUGCUAAUACCGCAUAAGCGCACAGCAUCGCAUGAUGCCGUGUGAAAAACUCCGGUGGUAUGAGAUGGACCCCGCGUCUGAUUAGGUAGUUGGCGGGUAACGGCCCACCAAGCCGACGAUCAGUAGCCGACCUGAGAGGUGACCGGCACAUUGGGACUGAGACACGGCCCAAACUCCUACGGGAGCAGCAGU